RNAcentral lists this ribosomal RNA (138 nucleotides) under uncultured eukaryote. RNAcentral describes it as "partial 18S ribosomal RNA". It matches the Rfam family "Eukaryotic small subunit ribosomal RNA", at positions 1533 to 1670 of the family's 1831-position model. The record is from RNAcentral.
AGCACGAGUUMCUACCUUGGCCGRAGGUCUGGGUAAUCUUGUUAAACUCUGUCGUGCUGGGGAUAGAGCAUUGCAAUUAUUGCUCUUCAACGAGGAAUGUCCUAGUAAGCGCGMGUCAUCAGCUCGCGUUGAUUACGU